GAUGAACGCUGGCGGCGUGCCUAAUACAUGCAAGUCGAGCGAACAGACGAGGAGCUUGCUCCUCUGACGUUAGCGGCGGACGGGUGAGUAACACGUGGAUAACCUACCUAUAAGACUGGGAUAACUUCGGGAAACCGGAGCUAAUACCGGAUAAUAUAUUGAACCGCAUGGUUCAAUAGUGAAAGACGGUUUUGCUGUCACUUAUAGAUGGAUCCGCGCCGCAUUAGCUAGUUGGUAAGGUAACGGCUUACCAAGGCGACGAUGCGUAGCCGACCUGAGAGGGUCAUCCGCCACACUGGAACUGAGACACGUUCCAGACUCCUGCGGUAGGCAGCGGUAGGGAAUCUUCCGGGAUGGGGCAAAGCCUGACGGAGCAACGCCGCGUGAGUGAUGAAGGUCUUCGGAUCCUAGAACUCUGUUAUUAGGGAAGUUCAAAUGUGUAAGUAACUAUGCACGUCUUGACGGUACCUAGUCAGAAAGCCACGGCUAACUACGUG
RNAcentral lists this ribosomal RNA (497 nucleotides) under uncultured bacterium. RNAcentral describes it as "partial 16S ribosomal RNA". It matches the Rfam family "Bacterial small subunit ribosomal RNA", at positions 28 to 507 of the family's 1533-position model. The record is from RNAcentral.